RNAcentral lists this transfer RNA (73 nucleotides) under Felis catus (domestic cat). It matches the Rfam family "tRNA". Rfam says of the family: Transfer RNA (tRNA) molecules are approximately 80 nucleotides in length. RNAcentral also lists the same sequence under 2 other names. The record is from Rfam by way of RNAcentral. Lineage: Eukaryota; Metazoa; Chordata; Mammalia; Carnivora; Felidae.
ACCUGGCUGGCUCAGUCGGUAGAGCAUGCAACUCUUGAUCUCAGGGUUGUGAGUUCAAGCCCCAUGUUGGGUG